CCUACGGGUGGCAGCAGUGGGGAAUAUUGGACAAUGGGCGAAAGCCUGAUCCAGCCAUGCCGCGUGUGUGAAGAAGGCCUUCGGGUUGUAAAGCACUUUCAGUGGGGAAGAAAGCCUUGGGGCUAAUACCCUCGAGGAAGGACAUCACCCACAGAAGAAGCACCGGCUAACUCCGUGCCAGCAGCCGCGGUAAUACGGAGGGUGGGAGCGUUAAUCGGAAUUACUGGGCGUAAAGCGCGCGUAGGCGGUCUGAUAAGCCGGUUGUGAAAGCCCCGGGCUCAACCUGGGAACGGCAUCCGGAACUGUCAGGCUAGAGUGCAGGAGAGGAAGGUAGAAUUCCCGGUGUAGCGGUGAAAUGCGUAGAGAUCGGGAGGAAUACCAGUGGCGAAGGCGGCCUUCUGGACUGACACUGACGCUGAGGUGCGAAAGCGUGGGUAGCAAACAGGAUUAGAUACCCGGGUAGUC
Molecule: ribosomal RNA, 465 nt
Filed under: Vreelandella stevensii
Lineage: Bacteria; Pseudomonadati; Pseudomonadota; Gammaproteobacteria; Oceanospirillales; Halomonadaceae
Description: partial 16S ribosomal RNA
Rfam family: Bacterial small subunit ribosomal RNA
Source: RNAcentral